GACGAACGCUGGCGGCGUGCUUAACACAUGCAAGUCGAGCGAUGAAGCUCCUUCGGGAGUGGAUUAGCGGCGGACGGGUGAGUAACACGUGGGUAACCUGCCUCCUAGAGGGGAAUAGCCUUUCGAAAGGAAGAUUAAUACCGCAUAAGAUUGUAGCUUCGCAUGAAGCAGCAAUUAAAGGAGUAAUCCGCUAUGAGAUGGACCCGCGUCGCAUUAGCUAGUUGGUGAGGUAACGGCUCACCAAGGCGACGAUGCGUAGCCGACCUGAGAGGGUGAUCGGCCACAUGGGGACUGAGACACGGCCCAGACUCCUACGGGAGGCAGCAGUGGGGAAUAUGGCACAAUGGGGGAAACCCUGAUGCAGCAACGCCGCGUGAGUGAUGACGGUCUUCGGAUUGUAAAGCUCUGUCUUCAGGGACGAUAAUGACGGUACCUGAGGAGGAAGCCACGGCUAACUACGUGCCAGCCGCCGCCGUAA
This 478-nucleotide ribosomal RNA is filed under the name uncultured bacterium. Its description in RNAcentral is "partial 16S ribosomal RNA". It matches the Rfam family "Bacterial small subunit ribosomal RNA", at positions 28 to 523 of the family's 1533-position model. The record is from RNAcentral.